RNAcentral lists this unclassified non-coding RNA (204 nucleotides) under plant metagenome. RNAcentral's name for it is "partial contains small subunit ribosomal RNA, internal transcribed spacer 1, and 5.8S ribosomal RNA". The record is from RNAcentral.
UUUCCGUAGGUGAACCUGCGGAAGGAUCAUUAACAAAUCAAGUGUGCUUGCACACAUUAAUCCAUGUGAAUCGUCAAUCAUUUGAUUGAAAUUGGAAACGAAAGUUUCUAGACCAAGAAAUUGGUCAAACACACGUCUAAACUAUAAUGACUGAAUCUAAAAAUUAAAAAAUUACAACUUUUAACAAUGGAUCUCUUGGCUCUU